GUUGUUUAUACGUAUGUGAAUAGUUUGUAGUAUUUGUAUGAAAUUGCUUUCCAAAGUGGCGAAUGUGUGUCUAUUUUUGACGAAUGAUCCUUAUCAGGAUUUAGCAGUGUAGUUGACCUAAAUUGGUUAAAAGAUGCUAGGUCCCACUUUAUUCCAUUUGAACAAUUUGUAAGUUGGCCACAAGAUGAGCCUGUGCAUCCAACUAAGUGGAAAUUGUUAAAAAUGCCAGUCCUUUUUGAUUCUAGUUGAAAGAUUUAUCUUGUAAAAGUGAGUGGCAUCUUAACUGGUUGUUCAAAAGGAGUUUACCUCUGGCAAGCUAGAAGUGGUAAAGAUGCAGAAGUCUACCCAGUUGUAGUCUAAAAUGUUGCCAUCUCUGGCUAAUUCCUAGGACAUGCAGGACUGUCUACCUCUUUGAGAAUGCUUCCACCAGAAGGGCUUUUCUCUGAUGGUUAAACCUUCCUUGGAUGUCUGAGUGAGAACCAUCUAUGCACAGUGCAAACGUUUGUAUCCUGAUUACUCAACUUUAUAUACCCCCGAAGAUGCUGUAAACUCACUUUAUUCUAGUGCAGUCAGAUUCACCUUUACGUUGAACCAAAAAGCGAGUGGUCUGCAGUUGAAUCUAUUCUUUAAAGAAAGCCGAAGUGAUAUUGCUUUACCAUCAUGACCUGCUGCAGUGUAGUCAGUAAAUUUUUAAAUUGGCUACUCUAUUCAACAAUGUCUGCCGCAUGAAUUUAAAUGCAGAUCUGGCACAGUUUUGACUGCAUUUGCUAACAAAUACCUUGUUAAAGCUGAUCUGAAAUAAGUGGCAUUCCUUUGCGAAGUGUGCAAAUAUUAAAUAAAAAUAAAAUGGAAAUUAGGUUCACAAUA
Long non-coding RNA from Protopterus annectens (West African lungfish), 867 nucleotides. RefSeq lists it as uncharacterized. Lineage: Eukaryota; Metazoa; Chordata; Ceratodontiformes; Protopteridae. The record is from RefSeq and is a predicted model, not a curated record. The transcript is spliced from 6 exons.